RNAcentral lists this ribosomal RNA (778 nucleotides) under uncultured Neocallimastigales. Its description in RNAcentral is "partial large subunit ribosomal RNA". It matches the Rfam family "Eukaryotic large subunit ribosomal RNA", at positions 24 to 614 of the family's 3401-position model. Lineage: Eukaryota; Fungi; Neocallimastigomycota; Neocallimastigomycetes; Neocallimastigales. The record is from RNAcentral.
UAUCUCUGUAGAGUCUGCAUAUCAAUAAGCGGAGGAAAAGAAACUAACUAGGAUUCCCUUAGUAACGGCGAGUGAAGCGGGAAGAGCUCAAAUUUGAAAUCUUCAAGGUUUUACCUUGACGAAUUGUAGUUUAAAGAAGUGUUUUCUGUUGGAUGUUUUGGUAAAAGUUCUUUGGAAUAGGACAUCAUAGAGGGUGAGAAUCCCGUAUUUGACCAUUACUUUCCAGCUUUGUGAUACACUUUCAAAGAGUCGGAUUGUUUGGGAAUGCAGUCCAAAAUGGGUGGUAAAUUUCAUCUAAAGCUAAAUAUUGGCGAGAGACCGAUAGCGAACAAGUACCGUGAGGGAAAGAUGAAAAGAACUUUGAAAAGAGAGUUAAACAGUACGUGAAAUUGUCAAAAGGGAAGCGUUUGACACCAGUGUUGUUUUCUCGAAAAUCAAUUAAAAAUGUGUUGGGAUUUUGUAUUGUUAAGACCUUAUCAGCUUACUGUACUCUUUUCCUGCUCUUUUUAAUGCACUUUUCGUUUAACAAGUCAACAUCAAUUUCUUUUGUUGUAAAAGAGUCAUUGGAAGGUGGCUUUCACUUCGGUGAAAGUGUUUAUAGCCUUUGGCUUCUGCAAUCGGAGAGAUUGAGGUCUGCAGCGUAGAUCCUUCGGGGCUAGAUACGUAGAUGCUAAGUUAUAGUUUUUUAUAGACAACUUGUUGACUAUGUUUAGUCAUGUGGCUUACCCGCUGGCGCUAUUUUACCUACGCUUAGGAUGUUGAGUCAUCACACAUCUCU